Molecule: ribosomal RNA, 324 nt
Filed under: uncultured eukaryote
Lineage: Eukaryota
Description: partial 18S ribosomal RNA
Rfam family: Eukaryotic small subunit ribosomal RNA
Source: RNAcentral
CCCUUAGAUGUUCUGGGCUGCACGCGCGCUACACUGAAGCUAUCAACACGUUUUCCCUCCCUGAGAAGGGCGGGUAACCUUUUGAAUCAGCUUCGUGGUAGGGAUCGGGGCUUGCAAUUGUCCCCCGUGAACCAGGAAUUCCUAGUAGACGCGAGUCAUAAGCUCGCAUCGAUUAAGUCCCUGCCCUUUGUACACACCGCCCGUCGCUACUACCGAUUGAACGUUUUAGCGAGGCAUUUGGACCGACGCAUCUCAGUUUAACCGCUGGUUUGUGUUGGAAAGACUUCCAAACUUGAGCGUUUAGAGGAAGUAAAAGUCGUAACA